This 547-nucleotide ribosomal RNA is filed under the name Clostridioides difficile. RNAcentral's name for it is "bacterial SSU rRNA". It matches the Rfam family "Bacterial small subunit ribosomal RNA", at positions 1 to 575 of the family's 1533-position model. The record is from RNAcentral. Lineage: Bacteria; Bacillati; Bacillota; Clostridia; Peptostreptococcales; Peptostreptococcaceae.
UUAUUUGAGAGUUUGAUCCUGGCUCAGGAUGAACGCUGGCGGCGUGCCUAACACAUGCAAGUUGAGCGAUUUACUUCGGUAAAGAGCGGCGGACGGGUGAGUAACGCGUGGGUAACCUACCCUGUACACACGGAUAACAUACCGAAAGGUAUGCUAAUACGGGAUAAUAUAUUUGAGAGGCAUCUCUUGAAUAUCAAAGGUGAGCCAGUACAGGAUGGACCCGCGUCUGAUUAGCUAGUUGGUAAGGUAACGGCUUACCAAGGCGACGAUCAGUAGCCGACCUGAGAGGGUGAUCGGCCACAUUGGAACUGAGACACGGUCCAAACUCCUACGGGAGGCAGCAGUGGGGAAUAUUGCACAAUGGGCGAAAGCCUGAUGCAGCAACGCCGCGUGAGUGAUGAAGGCCUUCGGGUCGUAAAACUCUGUCCUCAAGGAAGAUAAUGACGGUACUUGAGGAGGAAGCCCCGGCUAACUACGUGCCAGCAGCCGCGGUAAUACGUAGGGGGCUAGCGUUAUCCGGAUUUACUGGGCGUAAAGGGUGCGUAGG